Equus asinus (donkey) is the source of this 1614-nucleotide long non-coding RNA. The record is from Ensembl. Lineage: Eukaryota; Metazoa; Chordata; Mammalia; Perissodactyla; Equidae.
AGUCCCUAUCAUCUUUCUUUCAAGGAUGAAGCGACCCCAUAACUCUGUGAUUAACACACACUGACUCUGGAUGUCAGCGGAGAUGAAAGGAGGGGAUCAGUUGCUUUUGAAGAAAAGGUGGCCGUCUGGAUGGUGCAGGUGCAAGGUGGCUGGGGCUGAAGGCAGCAGGUGGUUUGGUUCUCUGAAGACAAAUUAGGGAACGCAGAGGAUGACAGAUGGGCAGGUGCUGGGUCAUUGUGAAAGGGGUUUCCCAGGAAUCUCUUUGUGGCAGAUUAGUUUGGGAAAUAACUCAAGCAACAAAGAGAAGAGAAAUGAGAGACCAGGGAGACCAACCGUCCCUUAUCUGCAAUUCCAAAGGAUUCACCUUCCCCAUUCUCGCUGAGGCGCUCCUGAGCUUUCCAAAAGAGCCACGGCAACAGCACAGCCACAGCCACAGAAGUGCAGUGUCACUCAGGACACAGCAUCAGACAUACCGCACAGAACAGGGCGAAGAGCUGAUUACAAGAGCAAGAUGUGUAGGAACCAGUGCCUUCUGGUAUGUUGAUGGAACUACUGCUGUGAUGAUCAUCAGUGCUAAUGAUCCAUCAUGGGAAUGUUAUCGUGACACUUGGCCCAAUUUACGUGGAUCCUUUUGUUGACUUCUGCUUGGUAACCAGGGUGCCACUGUCCAGGCCUGCCCCUCACAUUUGUGGGGCAAGGCCAAGAGUGCAAAUGGAGGCCUACGUAGUUAAACGUUACAAAUUCAACUGACAACCAAAUUUAAUAGCAAUGUGAAUUAUUUAAUAUUGCAAAAUGUUCCUUAGCCACCAUAGAUAUACAACUGCUGUGAAAGCAGCACUGAUCAAUGAGAGCAUCCAGAAGCACACAUUGGAACACGAAGAGAAGCAAGAAAGUGGAUGCCGGCACAGCUGGGAAUUUUAUUGUUAUUCAAGAAUCUAUUGCAUUCCUGGUCUCUGAGAGGAAGGAUUGGAUAAGUUAAUCUGUCUUUUCUUGAUCUGAGCACACUGCCCACCUCCGAUGCCGCACCUUCACAGCAGUCAGACAGUCCACCUUUGUUUGAGGCUUCAGAGCAAAAGGUUUGGAGGUGGGUUUCCUGGGCUCUAAAUGGUGCUCACCAAGAGGCUGGAUGUUUAGGUUUUGUGUAUGUAAUAUGUGGGGUGCUCGAAAGCAUGGGGUCCCGUUGUUGGGUCAGCAUUGUUUUAUUUCAUUUUGUUUUAUCUUUGGAUCUUAGAUCCAGAUAUUUUAGUUCAGCUUACUCCUCACUUCAUGAUACAAAAGUGCUAGUACCUGGAUUUAUUUACUAUAUCUGGUCUCAUCGUCAUUAUUACUUUUAGUCUAAUAUCUCAUUCAAGUUCUCUUCCUAAAAUUUACAAUGAAGAAAAUAAUAACCGCCUAUGUUUCUAGCUUUCUCUUUGUAGAUUGCUUGAAACACAGGAUGCUUCUAGCAAAUUCAGAUUCAAACUUAGUGAAAUCUGAUUUAUUUUACAAUGUUAAUAUAGGUUCCAUCUGGGGAGUAGCAGUGCAAGGAGAAAGAGGAGAAACUUUAAUUUUCACUGUAUAUACUUGUGUAUUGCUGUAAUAUUUUUUAUCAAGCAUUUACUACCUUUGUAAUAA